This 71-nucleotide transfer RNA is filed under the name Chthoniobacter flavus. RNAcentral describes it as "tRNA-Lys". It matches the Rfam family "tRNA". From Rfam's summary of the family: Transfer RNA (tRNA) molecules are approximately 80 nucleotides in length. RNAcentral also lists the same sequence under 1 other name. Lineage: Bacteria; Pseudomonadati; Verrucomicrobiota; Spartobacteria; Chthoniobacterales; Chthoniobacteraceae. The record is from RNAcentral.
GGGCCACUAGCUUAAAAGUAAAGCGUCCGGUUCUUACCCGGAAUAACACGGAGCAUUACCGUGGUGGCUCU